CCUACGGGUGGCAGCAGUGAGGAAUAUUGGUCAAUGGCCGGAAGGCUGAACCAGCCAUGCCGCGUGAAGGUCAGUGCCCUAUGGGCGUUAAACUUCUUUUGUGCGGGAGCAAUAAUGGUCACGUGUGGCCAGACGAGAGUACCGUACGAAUAAGCAUCGGCUAACUCCGUGCCAGCAGCCGCGGUAAUACGGGGGAUGCAAGCGUUAUCCGGAUUUAUUGGGUUUAAAGGGGGCGUAGGCUGUGAGGUAAGUCAGCGGUGAAAUGCCCCGGCUCAACGGGGUGAAGUGCCAUUGAUACUGCCUGGCUGGAAUGCGGAUGCCGUGGGAGGAAUGUGUGGUGUAGCGGUGAAAUGCAUAGAUAUCACACAGAACACCGAUUGCGAAGGCAUCUCACGAAUCCGCGAUUGACGCUGAUGCACGAAAGCGUGGGUAUCAAACAGGAUUAGAUACCCGGGUAGUC
This 460-nucleotide ribosomal RNA is filed under the name uncultured bacterium. Its description in RNAcentral is "partial 16S ribosomal RNA". It matches the Rfam family "Bacterial small subunit ribosomal RNA", at positions 338 to 795 of the family's 1533-position model. The record is from RNAcentral.